Tribolium castaneum (red flour beetle) is the source of this 2153-nucleotide RNA transcript. It is a transcript of the gene named tetra-peptide repeat homeobox protein 1-like, with no coding region annotated. The transcript is spliced from 2 exons. NCBI's taxonomy places the organism in Eukaryota, Metazoa, Arthropoda, Insecta, Coleoptera, Tenebrionidae. The record is from RefSeq and is a predicted model, not a curated record.
CGGAGAUAUAAUCUAAAAAAAAGAAAAUGUCAAUAUCUCUAACAAUAAACAAGUUAUGGAGCUUUUUCGGAUCGAUGGGACAGCUUGUAUACCGGGCGGAUCCAAAAGUUUUACUACUGGUGAUCUUCUAAAAUUAUUACUUGCUACAUAAAAUUAGAUGACAAAUUUUUCUUACCAAGUAAUAACUUUUCCACAAUUUAUUUUGAGCUAAUUUGAUUCGUAUCACCAUGACAAUUUUUUUAAAGCUUGAAUUAAAUGGUCCACUCCAUCCGGUUGCCAUUUUGAUUUCAGUCGAUCUAGUGAUAAAUAGAUCAUUCUAUUACCAACAUCCCUACAUCCCACAUUUAUUGCUCCUUAUAAAAGUUCUAGAACAACAGGCUUCAGUGAAAUAGCGUCAGUAACAAUAAUUUAACAAUUAUUUCUGAAAUUAUCAACAAAUCUACUUGUCGAAGUUAUUUGUGGAAAGAAAUCCAGACGAACUAAGUGUGUGGAAAGCCAGUGCAGAAGAGUCAGGAAAUUGGGGGCCCCCAUCAUGGACCGCAACUCACCCCCCCAGUUUCCUUUCUACUCAACUGUUCUCAAGUACGGUAGACAACGUAGUGGUUUUGAUUUAUUGCAGAUAAUAGCAUUGAUAGAGGGAGUGUUCACAGUCCACGGUUCCAAUCUCCAAGCAUUCGUUACGAGAACAGAGAUCUACUUGAUCUAGGGUCUAACCUCCAGUGGGCUUACGUACCGCCGGCUCAAGUUCCCCCAUUCGCUAGUGGAGAUUACAUAACGCAGAACAUGUCCACUCUCCAGAGAUUAAUCCGUCCACAGGAUUACCGUGAUCAUCCUUUGGAAAGGUGCCUGCAUUGUGACUUCUUAGGGUAUAACCCCGUACUGCCCAAGGAAUUCUUCCCCGACUACUCUCGGUUGCUUCGUGAGGCGUUUCAUGAGGAAGUACCUGCAAAUGUUCGCGGAAGUGCUCCUGUGAAUGUUCCAGAAAACAUUCCAGUUCCUGGGAAUGUUUCACAGAAUGUUCCUGGGAAUUUUCCACUAAAUCAUUGUGGGAAUAUUCCACAGAAUGUUCCUGGGAAUUUCCCACUGGAUCUUUCUGGGAAUGUUCCACUAAAUGUCCCUGGAAAUGUUCCACUAAAUGUUCCUGGGAAUUUUCCACUGAAUCUUUCUGGGAAUGUUCCCCUGAAUGUUUCUGGGAAUUUUCCACAGAAUGUUCCUGGAAACUUUCCACAGAAUGUUCCUGGAAAUUUCCCACAAAAUGUUCCUGGGAAUUUUCCACAGAAUGUUCCUGGGAAUUUUCCACAGAAUUUUCCUGGGAACUUUCCACAGAAUUUUCCUGGGAACUUUCCUCAAAAUGUUCCUGGAAAUUUUCCACAGAAUGUUCCUGGAAAUUUUACACCGAAUUUUCCUGGGAACUUUCCACAGAAUGUUCCUGGAAAUUUUCCACUGAAUGUUCCCGGAAAUGUUUCACUGAAUGUUCCUGAGAAUAUUCCUGGAAAUGUUUAUGGUCAAAUUCCAGCUAUGUAUCCAGGGAAUUGCCCUGUUUUUUAUGCAAGGGAACUUCCUGGAUAUGUUUCUGGAAACCAUCGCGUGUUUGUUCCUGAGAAUACUCCCAUUUACAUCGUUGAGAAUUUUCCGGGUUAUAUUCCUGACAACUACCCGGUAUAUUUGGUGCCAGUUAAUCAGCCUCAAAACAUACCUCAAAAUAUUCCUACGUUCGUUCCUGAGUGCAAUCCUGGGAACUUUCCUGAGCGCAACCCUGGGCACGUUCCUGAGCGCAUGCCCGGGCACUUACCUGAGCGCAUUCCUGAACGCAGUCCUGGGAAUUAUCCGGAACCAAUGUCACCAUACAACCCCUUCAACGUUCAGAAUCAGGCCAACGUACGUUAUCCUGGGAUCAAUGAGAAUGUUAAACCAUAAGUUUUUUGUCGUUUGUAUUCGUAGCUUUAGUUUGCUUUUUUCGUUACUUUUAAUAUGUUUUUUAUUGUUCAUAGUUUUUAAUAAUUAAUAAAGUACCGAUAUUUUGAGUAGAAUUUUGUCCUUUUGUGUCGUUACUUUCAUUGUGCUUUUUAAUACUUCAUAGUUUUUGAUAAUUAAUGAAGUAACGACAUUUUGACUCGAAUUUUGUUCUUUUAUUGUUACUUUCAAUAUGUUUU